RNAcentral lists this unclassified non-coding RNA (355 nucleotides) under soil metagenome. RNAcentral's name for it is "partial contains 5.8S ribosomal RNA, internal transcribed spacer 2, and large subunit ribosomal RNA". The stretch from base 1 to 120 matches the Rfam family "5.8S ribosomal RNA", at positions 35 to 154 of the family's 154-position model. The record is from RNAcentral.
GAUGAAGAACGUAGCGAAAUGCGAUAAGUAAUGCGAAUUGCAGAAUUCAGUGAGUCAUCGAAUCUUUGAACGCACAUUGCGCCCAUUAGUAUUCUAGUGGGCAUGCCUGUUCGAGCGUCAUUAAGUCCACUUAAGCCCUGCUUAGUGUUGGGAGACUGCUCCAGCGGUGCUACCCUGUAGCUACCCUGCAGCUCCUCAAAGACAGCGGCGGAGUUGUGGUAUCCUCUGAGCUUAGUAACUUGUUCUAGCUUUCGAGUACACCACUUCCCCUGCCGUAAAACCCUUAAUUUUUAAUGGUUGACCUCGGAUCAGGUAGGAAUACCCGCUGAACUUAAGCAUAUCAAUAAGCGGAGGA